RNAcentral lists this transfer RNA (84 nucleotides) under Candidatus Collierbacteria bacterium RIFOXYA2_FULL_46_20. Its description in RNAcentral is "tRNA-Leu". It matches the Rfam family "tRNA". Rfam says of the family: Transfer RNA (tRNA) molecules are approximately 80 nucleotides in length. Their secondary structure includes four short double-helical elements and three loops (D, anti-codon, and T loops). Further hydrogen bonds mediate the characteristic L-shaped molecular structure. tRNAs have two regions of fundamental functional importance: the anti-codon, which is responsible for specific mRNA codon recognition, and the 3' end, to which the tRNAs corresponding amino acid is attached (by aminoacyl-tRNA synthetases). tRNAs cope with the degeneracy of the genetic code in two manners: having more than one tRNA (with a specific anti-codon) for a particular amino acid; and 'wobble' base-pairing, i.e. permitting non-standard base-pairing at the 3rd anti-codon position. The record is from RNAcentral. RNAcentral also lists the same sequence under 6 other names. Lineage: Bacteria; Candidatus Collieribacteriota.
GGGCAGGUGGCGAAAUGGUAGACGCGCAGCGUUCAGGACGCUGUGAGGCAACUCUUGGGGGUUCAAAUCCCCCCCUGCCCACAA